Molecule: ribosomal RNA, 115 nt
Filed under: Magnetococcales bacterium
Lineage: Bacteria; Pseudomonadati; Pseudomonadota; Magnetococcia; Magnetococcales
Source: RNAcentral
CCUGGUGGUCAUGGCGAAGGUGUCCCACCCGAUCCCAUCCCGAACUCGGAAGUUAAACCCUUCAGCGCCAAUGAUACUGCAUCUCAAGAUGUGGGAAAGUAGGUCGCCGCCAGGA